UACGAAGGAUGCAAGCGUUAUCCGGAUUCAUUGGGUUUAAAGGGAGCGUAGGUGGUCUUAUAAGUCAGUGGUGAAAUCUCUGGGCUUAACCCAGAAAUUGCCAUUGAUACUGUAGGACUUGAGUAUAGUUGCCGUUGGCGGAAUAUGACAUGUAGUGGUGAAAUACAUAGAGAUGUCAUAGAACACCGAUUGCGAAGGCAGCUAACGAAACUAUAACUGACACUGAGGCUCGAAAGUGUGGGGAUCAAACAGG
This 253-nucleotide ribosomal RNA is filed under the name uncultured bacterium. Its description in RNAcentral is "partial 16S ribosomal RNA". It matches the Rfam family "Bacterial small subunit ribosomal RNA", at positions 524 to 776 of the family's 1533-position model. The record is from RNAcentral.